UACGAAGGUCCCAAGCGUUGCUCGGAAUCAUUGGGCGUAAAGCGGGUGCAGGUGGCUUUGUAAGUCAGGAGUGAAAGCCCAGGGCUCAACCCUGGAAGUGCUUUUGAAACUGCAAAGCUUGAGUGUGGGAGAGGAUGCUGGAAUUCCUGGUGUAGUGGUGAAAUACGUAGAGAUCAGGAGGAACCCCGGUGGCGAAGGCGGGUAUCUGGCCCAACACUGACACUUAGACCCGAAAGCGUGGGGAUCAAACAGG
RNAcentral lists this ribosomal RNA (253 nucleotides) under uncultured bacterium. RNAcentral describes it as "partial 16S ribosomal RNA". It matches the Rfam family "Bacterial small subunit ribosomal RNA", at positions 524 to 776 of the family's 1533-position model. The record is from RNAcentral.